GUCCUAUAGCAGUUGUUCAGGGAGCAAGAAGGUGGGGCUAGACUCCACUGCCCAUAUUCGAUUAUCAGAGCCAGCUGGAAAGAGGUCAAAUGGUGCCUAUAAAGGAUUGAGAAACCUCAGCUGUAAAAAACAGCAGGAGGUAGUUUAGCUCCUGUGAUUGGUCCUGGAGUAGUAGGAGCAGACUAAAAGAAAAAGCAGAGUAUCAAAGAAGACAUCAAUCAAACGAGACCAUUUUACUUUGACCAUUAAGCAAUUGUUGUUGUGUAAGUUGGUAGGCAUACCAGUGUCCCUCCCUCUUGCAAACUAGGAGUAAAGGCUAUGAGACUUCUGCCUCAGGGUCAGGACAUGGCCGGAGUGUGGAUGCGUGGACAGUAGGUAAUCCCUCAAGAAGGGAAUGGGGGAAAGUUCUGUCUGUGAAGCAUCUCCAAGGAUGGUACUUUUUGUGCUUGGAGACAUU
Molecule: long non-coding RNA, 457 nt
Filed under: Anser cygnoides (Swan goose)
Lineage: Eukaryota; Metazoa; Chordata; Aves; Anseriformes; Anatidae
Description: lncRNA (ENSACDG00005006290.1)
Source: RNAcentral